UACAGAGGAUGCGAGCGUUAUCCGGAUUUAUUGGGUUUAAAGGGUGCGUAGGCGGUCCGUUAAGUCAGCGGUAAAAUUGCGGGGCUCAACCCCGUCGAGCCGUUGAAACUGGCAGACUUGAGUUGGCGAGAAGUACGCGGAAUGCGCGGUGUAGCGGUGAAAUGCAUAGAUAUCGCGCAGAACCCCGAUUGCGAAGGCAGCAUACCGGUGCACAACUGACGCUCAGGCACGAAAGCGUGGGUAUCGAACAGG
Molecule: ribosomal RNA, 252 nt
Filed under: uncultured bacterium
Lineage: Bacteria
Description: partial 16S ribosomal RNA
Rfam family: Bacterial small subunit ribosomal RNA
Source: RNAcentral